CCCUAGUAGCGGCGAGCGAAGCGGGAAGAGCUCAAAUUUAUAAUCUGGCACCUUCGGUGUCCGAGUUGUAAUCUCUAGAAAUGUUUUCCGCGUUGGACCGCACACAAGUCUGUUGGAAUACAGCGGCAUAGUGGUGAGACCCCCGUAUAUGGUGCGGACGCCCAGCGCUUUGUGAUACAUUUUCGAAGAGUCGAGUUGUUUGGGAAUGCAGCUCAAAUUGGGUGGUAAAUUCCAUCUAAAGCUAAAUAUUGGCGAGAGACCGAUAGCGAACAAGUACCGUGAGGGAAAGAUGAAAAGCACUUUGGAAAGAGAGUUAACAGUACGUGAAAUUGUUGGAAGGGAAACGCUUGAAGUCAGACUUGCUUGCCGAGCAAUCGGUUUGCAGGCCAGCAUCAGUUUUCCGGGAUGGAUAAUGGUAGAGAGAAGGUAGCAGUUUCGGCUGUGUUAUAGCUCUCUGCUGGAUACAUCUUGGGGGACUGAGGAACGCAGUGUGCCUUUUGGCGGGGGUUUCAACCCCUUCCCACUUAGAAGGCUGGGGAAAGGGCUUUAAACAACCCGCCUUGAA
RNAcentral lists this ribosomal RNA (565 nucleotides) under Rhodotorula mucilaginosa. Its description in RNAcentral is "eukaryotic LSU rRNA". It matches the Rfam family "Eukaryotic large subunit ribosomal RNA", at positions 78 to 658 of the family's 3401-position model. The record is from RNAcentral. Lineage: Eukaryota; Fungi; Basidiomycota; Microbotryomycetes; Sporidiobolales; Sporidiobolaceae.